CAGUCGCCACGGGAAUACAGAGGGUGCAAGCGUUAAUCGGAAUUACUGGGCGUAAAGCGCGCGUAGGUGGUUCGCCAAGUUGGAUGUGAAAUCCCCGGGCUCAACCUGGGAACUGCAUCCAAAACUGGCGAGCUAGAGUAUGGUAGAGGGUGGUGGAAUUUCCUGUGUAGCGGUGAAAUGCGUAGAUAUAGGAAGGAACACCAGUGGCGAAGGCGACCACCUGGACUGAUACUGACACUGAGGUGCGAAAGCGUGGGGAGCAAACAGGAUUAGAUACCCCCGUAGUCCCUGUCUCUUAUAC
This 301-nucleotide ribosomal RNA is filed under the name uncultured bacterium. Its description in RNAcentral is "partial 16S ribosomal RNA". It matches the Rfam family "Bacterial small subunit ribosomal RNA", at positions 509 to 807 of the family's 1533-position model. The record is from RNAcentral.